Molecule: ribosomal RNA, 497 nt
Filed under: uncultured bacterium
Lineage: Bacteria
Description: partial 16S ribosomal RNA
Rfam family: Bacterial small subunit ribosomal RNA
Source: RNAcentral
GAUGAACGCUGGCGGCGUGCCUAAUACAUGCAAGUCGAGCGAACAGACGAGGAGCUUGCUCCUCUGACGUUAGCGGCGGACGGGUGAGUAACACGUGGAUAACCUACCUAUAAGACUGGGAUAACUUCGGGAAACCGGAGCUAAUACCGGAUAAUAUAUUGAACGGCAUGGUUCAAUAGUGAAAGACGGUUUUGCUGUCCCUUAUAGAUGGAUCCGCGCCGCAUUAGCUAGUUGGUAAGGUAACGGCUUACCAAGGCGACGAUGCGUAGCCGACCUGAGAGGGUGAUCGGCCACACUGGAACUGAGACACGGUCCAGACUCCUACGGGAGGCAGCAGUAGGGAAUAUUCCGCGAUGGGCGAAAGCCUGACGGAGCAACGCCGCGUGAGUGAUGAAGGUCUUCGGAUCGUAAAACUCUGUUAGUAGGGAAGAACAAAUGUGUGAGUAACUAUGCACGUCUUGACGGUACCUAAACAAAAAGCCACGGCUAACUACGUG